UCUGCAUUCUCCUCCUACUCCUACUCCUACUCUGCACCAACCAAAAGGAACCUUACCUUCAACCUUACUAGUUGCAUUUCUGAUUCAUUGCUCUUUUAUUUGCAUAUAUAUAUAUAUAUAUAUAUAUAUACACAUAUGUAGGACUCCUCCACAAAUAUCUCUCAAGAUUUCUAACUGAGGUUUCCUUGAAGAGGAAAAAGUUGAGGUUUUUAUACAAUCUACUACAACAAUGAAAGUUUUCUCUUUUUCAGAAAAAAAAAACAACAACAAAAAAAAAAACAAUAUCCAACGCUAAUCCUUUUCGUGAAUCUAAUCUAGGUGUUAUCGAUUUUACAAGUCAUAUCUCAUGAUGACGGUAUUCCAGCAACCAGCUCCUGGGAUCUUCUGGAAUG
This 392-nucleotide long non-coding RNA is filed under the name Carica papaya (papaya). RNAcentral's name for it is "long non-coding RNA (CPAP_LNC005519)". Lineage: Eukaryota; Viridiplantae; Streptophyta; Magnoliopsida; Brassicales; Caricaceae. The record is from RNAcentral.